GAUGAACGCUGGCGGCGUGCCUAAUACAUGCAAGUCGAGCGAACGGACGAGAAGCUUGCUUCUCUGAUGUUAGCGGCGGACGGGUGAGUAACACGUGGAUAACCUACCUAUAAGACUGGGAUAACUUCGGGAAACCGGAGCUAAUACCGGAUAAUAUUUUGAACCGCAUGGUUCAAAAGUGAAAGACGGUCUUGCUGUCACUUAUAGAUGGAUCCGCGCUGCAUUAGCUAGUUGGUAAGGUAACGGCUUACCAAGGCAACGAUGCAUAGCCGACCUGAGAGGGUGAUCGGCCACACUGGAACUGAGACACGGUCCAGACUCCUACGGGAGGCAGCAGUAGGGAAUCUUCCGCAAUGGGCGAAGGCCUGACGGAGCAACGCCGCGUGAGUGAUGAAGGUCUUCGGAUCGUAAAACUCUGUUAUUAGGGAAGAACAUAUGUGUAAGUAACUGUGCACAUCUUGACGGUACCUAAUCAGAAAGCCGCGGCUAACUACGUG
This 497-nucleotide ribosomal RNA is filed under the name uncultured bacterium. RNAcentral describes it as "partial 16S ribosomal RNA". It matches the Rfam family "Bacterial small subunit ribosomal RNA", at positions 28 to 507 of the family's 1533-position model. The record is from RNAcentral.